Molecule: long non-coding RNA, 493 nt
Organism: Hemiscyllium ocellatum (epaulette shark)
Lineage: Eukaryota; Metazoa; Chordata; Chondrichthyes; Orectolobiformes; Hemiscylliidae
Exons: 4
Source: RefSeq, a predicted model, not a curated record
GAAAAGCUAAUGUGCUGCGGGAUAAAACUGCGGUUAAAAUUCAUGACAUUGCGAGGUCCGUUGGCAGCAUAUCACAGAGAGAUUUUAGGAAGUAGUUUUCUGUUGCAGUCUGGGGCAGAAAGUGAGAAGAACAUAUGAACAAGGAGCAGGAGUAAACUACUCAGCCUUUCUAGCCUAAAUGAAGCUUCACCGUUCUGAUUUGGCACAAUCCAGGGACAGUGCUCAUCAGGCAUGGGGAACUUACCGUUUGGAUGCUGGGACCUUCAAAGCAUCAUCGUACAGUGCACAUAGUAAUCUGACCCAGAUAUGGCUGAAGCACUUGGAACCUAAUGUGUGAUUGCAAAACCCUCUAUAUGUUAACACAAAUACAGAAGACAUCGAUAGUAUGUGACUGCAUCACCUAAUAACUGAGUUAGCGACAAUGGAACAGAAGACCAUGAUAAUCAAAAAUAGUCCUGUGGAAAAUCUAAAGAUGAACUCUUCAAAAUAAAUU